UACGGGGGGGGCAAGCGUUGUUCGGAAUUACUGGGCGUAAAGGGCUCGUAGGUGGCCAACUAAGUCAGACGUGAAAUCCCCAGGCUUAACCUGGGAACUGCGUCUGAUACUGGAUGGCUUGAGUUCGGGAGAGGGAUGCGGAAUUCCAGGUGUAGCGGUGAAAUGCGUAGAUAUCUGGAGGAACACCGGUGGCGAAGGCGGCAUCCUGGACCGAUACUGACGCUGAGGAGCGAAAGCUAGGGGAGCGAACGGG
Molecule: ribosomal RNA, 253 nt
Filed under: uncultured bacterium
Lineage: Bacteria
Description: partial 16S ribosomal RNA
Rfam family: Bacterial small subunit ribosomal RNA
Source: RNAcentral